RNAcentral lists this non-coding RNA (148 nucleotides) under Nomascus leucogenys (northern white-cheeked gibbon). The record is from Rfam by way of RNAcentral. Lineage: Eukaryota; Metazoa; Chordata; Mammalia; Primates; Hylobatidae.
GCCGGGCAUGGUGGCGUGCGCCUGUAAUCCCAGCUACUCAGGAGGCUGAGGCAGGAGAAUCGCUUGAACCUGGGAGGCGGAGGUUGCAGUGAGCUUAGAUGGUGCCACUGCACUCCAGCCUGGGUGACAGAGCGAGACUCUGUCUCAA